UGGGUGCUUAGCUCAGUUGGUAGAGCGUCGCCCUUACAAGGCGAAUGUCGGGGGUUCGAAUCCCUCAGCACCCAUUCA
This 78-nucleotide transfer RNA is filed under the name Coxiella burnetii RSA 331. RNAcentral's name for it is "tRNA-Val". It matches the Rfam family "tRNA". From Rfam's summary of the family: Transfer RNA (tRNA) molecules are approximately 80 nucleotides in length. Their secondary structure includes four short double-helical elements and three loops (D, anti-codon, and T loops). Further hydrogen bonds mediate the characteristic L-shaped molecular structure. tRNAs have two regions of fundamental functional importance: the anti-codon, which is responsible for specific mRNA codon recognition, and the 3' end, to which the tRNAs corresponding amino acid is attached (by aminoacyl-tRNA synthetases). tRNAs cope with the degeneracy of the genetic code in two manners: having more than one tRNA (with a specific anti-codon) for a particular amino acid; and 'wobble' base-pairing, i.e. permitting non-standard base-pairing at the 3rd anti-codon position. RNAcentral also lists the same sequence under 1 other name. The record is from RNAcentral. Lineage: Bacteria; Pseudomonadati; Pseudomonadota; Gammaproteobacteria; Legionellales; Coxiellaceae.